This 468-nucleotide ribosomal RNA is filed under the name uncultured bacterium. Its description in RNAcentral is "partial 16S ribosomal RNA". It matches the Rfam family "Bacterial small subunit ribosomal RNA", at positions 28 to 507 of the family's 1533-position model. The record is from RNAcentral.
GACGAACGCUGGCGGCGUGCUUAACACAUGCAAGUCGAACGGAAAGGCCCUGCUUUUGUGGGGUGCUCGAGUGGCGAACGGGUGAGUAACACGUGAGUAACCUGCCCUUGACUUUGGGAUAACUUCAGGAAACUGGGGCUAAUACCGGAUAGGAGCUCCUGCUGCAUGGUGGGGGUUGGAAAGUUUCGGCGGUCGGGGAUGGACUCGCGGCUUAUCGGCUUGUUGGUGGGGUAGUGGCUUACCAAGGCUUUGACGGGUAGCCGGCCUGAGAGGGUGACCGGCCACAUUGGGACUGAGAUACGGGCCAGACUCCUACGGGAGGCAGCAGUGGGGAAUAUUGCACAAUGGGCGGAAGCCUGAUGCAGCAACGCCGCGUGCGGGAUGACGGCCUUCGGGUUGUAAACCGCUUUCGCCUGUGACGAAGCGUGAGUGACGGUAAUGGGUAAAGAAGCACCGGCUAACUACGUG